CACAUUUGAAUAUUAAGCAUAGGUUUCACUAUUUCUUCAUAAGAAAAAGACGAAAUUUCUGAAAACCUCUGUUCAUAAAAUUUAUAGGAAAGGGCUUUGUGAAUUGUAAAGCUCCACAUACAAGUGGUGGAUAAUACAACUAAUUUGUUAUUUCUCCCUAUUACUAUCUGAAUGGUUAUUUUACUUUGCAUUUAAUUUGUUGAAGAUAGAGAAGCUACCUAAGACUGAAGAAAUGUAAUGUGGGGGAAAAAUGGGUAAAGUGAGAGAGACCUGAGGGAAAACGAAAAUAGUAAAGUGAAAAUAAAAGUAAGAGGACAGAUAAUCCCAUCUAUUCUUAUUGUUUAAAGUGUUGUCUAUAUUGCUAAUUUAUCAAUGUUACUGUUGUCCUAACCUUUCUCAAAUUAAUUCUUGCCCUUCUUGUCUUCUUUGCUCCUUCCAUAUUUAGUGAGUUGGACUAUGGAUCAGGUACUGUGCUUAGCAUUGGAAAAUGGGAUGACAAUGAACAGAGUAACAUGAGUAGAUUUCUGAAAAAGGAUGAACAUACUGGAAACAGAUAUUGUGUGCCUGAAAUAGACCCAAAAGGAUAUAAAUGUCUGAACUUAGUCUGGGCUGGUGAUAUAGAUUUGGAAUGCACCAACAUGCAGAUGGUAAUCCUGGCAUGCGAGUAGAUGAGAUCAUCCAGGGAGAUGGCCUAUAAUGAGAGCCUGUAACAUGUCAGAUCUCCAGGCUCUCAAGAUCUCCAACCUGACCAGGGAUCAUCUCAUUCAUGGAUAAAAUGGACUUCACCCAGCUUGAACUUCACACAUGAUUUUGUGCUGGUGUAGUGCCCUCAGAUCCUGCUGACCUCUACUCCCACUGCCAGACCAUGACUUCAGCUCACUUCUGUCCUCUAUUAGAGCAGAGAAGACAGUCAUGGCAUAGAACAAGUUCUCCUAGGACAAAUAUACACAAAUCUCCUUGUGGCCAGCAGGAGACCUUUUCCCCCUGAUUUUACUGCAUCUCUAACCUUGAAAAAAACACAUCUGUUUGAUCAUUUUACUACUUCUAACUACCACCCUAUUUAUUAUCUUCUACUCGACUUAUUGCCAAAACUCCCCUAACCUCCAUUCUUGUCAUCCCUCUCUCUCAGUGCACACAUAUACAUUUUCCCAGCUCUUUCAUUUUCAUCAAUGGCACCAUCACUGUUCCAAUUUCUUGGACCAGAAGUCGUAUCUCCUUCCCUCAUGCUUAUAUAUAACUAGCUGCUUAUUAUUAAAUUCAAAAACUUUCUUUUUCUCCUUCAUCCUCUUCCUCUCUCUAGCCCAUAUGUGAUUUUUCAGUUUAUAUCUGACUUGCUGUAACAGCCUUCUAGUUGAGCUCUGUGGUUCUAAUUUCUACCCAUUCCCCUUGUAGCUUACAUUCAGACUUCUUUCCUAAAACCGUGUGCUUAUUACACACUGUAGUGGCUCCUUUUUCCCACCCAUAUCAAAUCUAUAAUGCACUGCUUAGUUUUAUAACCCUGCCUCAGAAAGUUUCCAUUUGUUCAUUCUCUUCUUUUUCAUUCCUAAUCAAUGUGAACCUUCUAACUCUAGUCAAGCUAGCCAUCACCACUGUUCCAAGAAAGUGCUUACCUCAUGGUGCUCCUGAAAUAUAUUUAUCCUUUCUCCUUCCUAAAUCCUACCCAUAUUUUAAGACCAAGUUUAAGUCUCAUUUCCGGCAUUAACAAUGGAGUUGUACUACAUCUGACUGGACCAGUCUUCUCUGCUGAACACUUACAGUCCUGCUCUACAUAACUCAGGACUAGAAACGUUCUUGUAGUGAUCACUAUUACUUCGUGAGACUAUGACAAUUCCUUAAUGGCAAGAAUCACAUUUUAUACUUCUAUCACUCUCUUUCCGCCUUGCAAAGGGCAAACGCCCUAAUAUAAUAAUUAUUCAUUAUCUAUCUGCCUAGAAUAUAACAUAAUUUCACUGCAUUAUUUUAUCAACACCAAACUUGAAUCUAAUUAAAUAAAUGCAUCUAUAACAGUUUUCUUAUAUUGAAUGCAGGCCUAAUGCAGGUAAUUUCUCUACAUAACCCAAAUGCUACAAUUGUGUUUUCUCUAGUGGUUGUCUGCACUUCAGCCAUUUUGUUCCUAUUACUGCCUAUUUUUAAAAUAAGAAUUCAGUAUCUAUCUGAGAUCAUUCUUUUUCUUUU
Molecule: non-coding RNA, 2175 nt
Organism: Macaca mulatta (Rhesus monkey)
Lineage: Eukaryota; Metazoa; Chordata; Mammalia; Primates; Cercopithecidae
Source: RefSeq, a predicted model, not a curated record